UUAUGUUCUACCUCGCUAUGCUCGUCCGAACAUAAAUUAUUUCUCAUUCUAUAUAAAGAAACAACAAAGACUAAUAUGGCAGGAGAUACACACCAAACAGUUUUAAUUAUAAUAACAUUUUUUUCAAAAUACAUGUAUACCGUGCAAUCGAAUAUUAAAGUCCAUACAUCAUGCGUCAUUAUAUUAUCUAUAUAAUCAUCUCAACUGUGCUCAUACUAAUAUCUACAAAAACAAAAUACAAAGAAUUAGGAUUUAUACAAAGCAUAAUAUUACAAUCUAAAUGUAAUAAAGUUGUCGAACAAGUUUGGUGUGUGAAAUCUCGAAGAAAUGAAAAGGGCGCGUAAAACAGUAUAUAAAGUCCGAAAACCGAAUUACUCAGUAUUCCGCGACAGAAAUAGGACGAAAUCUCAAAACGAAAAGAAAUAUAAUUAUGUUCUACCUUGCUUUGCUAGUCCGAACAUAAAUUAUUUCUUAUUCUAUAUAAAGAAACAACAAAGACUAAUAUGGCAGGA
This 512-nucleotide long non-coding RNA is filed under the name Mytilus galloprovincialis (Mediterranean mussel). Lineage: Eukaryota; Metazoa; Mollusca; Bivalvia; Mytilida; Mytilidae. The record is from RNAcentral.